GUGGGGCUUCGGCCCCGCCGAGAUAGAACCCUUGCCUUUUGUAUACCGUCCGUUUCCUCGGCAGGCUCGCCUGCCAAUGGGGACCAUAAUAAACCUUUGUAAUAACCUGUAACUGUCUGAUCAAAAAAUUAAAUUUAAAACUUUUAACAACGGAUCUCUUGGUUCU
This 166-nucleotide unclassified non-coding RNA is filed under the name rhizosphere metagenome. RNAcentral describes it as "partial ribosomal RNA internal transcribed spacer region". The record is from RNAcentral.